GACGAACGCUGGCGGCGUGCUUAACACAUGCAAGUCGAACGGUGACCCAGGGCUUGCCCUGGUGAUCAGUGGCGAACGGGUGAGUAACACGUGGGGCAACCUGCCCCUGACUUCGGGAUAACUCCUCGAAAGAGGAGCUAAUACCGGAUACGACCACUUCGGACAUCCGAUGGUGGUGGAAAGUUCUUCGGUCAGGGAUGGGCCCGCGGCCUAUCAGCUAGUUGGUGGGGUAAUGGCCUACCAAGGCGACGACGGGUAGCCGGCCUGAGAGGGCGACCGGCCACACUGGGACUGAGACACGGCCCAGACUCCUACGGGAGGCAGCAGUGGGGAAUAUUGCGCAAUGGGCGAAAGCCUGACGCAGCGACGCCGCGUGAGGGAUGAAGGCCUCGGGUUGUAAACCUCUUUCAGCAGGGACGAAGCGAAAGUAGACGGUACCUGCAGAAGAAGACACCGGCGUAACUACGUGCCAGCAGCCGCGGUAAU
Molecule: ribosomal RNA, 486 nt
Filed under: uncultured bacterium
Lineage: Bacteria
Description: bacterial SSU rRNA
Rfam family: Bacterial small subunit ribosomal RNA
Source: RNAcentral